Molecule: ribosomal RNA, 253 nt
Filed under: uncultured bacterium
Lineage: Bacteria
Description: partial 16S ribosomal RNA
Rfam family: Bacterial small subunit ribosomal RNA
Source: RNAcentral
UACGUAGGGGGCUAGCGUUGUCCGGAAUCAUUGGGCGUAAAGAGCGUGUAGGCGGCCCGGUAAGUCCGCUGUGAAAGUCGGGGGCUCAACCCUCGAAUGCCGGUGGAUACUGUCGGGCUAGAGUGCGGAAGAGGCGAGUGGAAUUCCUGGUGUAGCGGUGAAAUGCGCAGAUAUCAGGAGGAACACCGAUUGCGAAGGCAGCUCGCUGGGACGUAACUGACGCUGCGACGCGAAAGCGUGGGGAGCAAACAGG